UACGUAGGGUGCGAGCGUUAAUCGGAAUUACUGGGCGUAAAGCGUGCGCAGGCGGUUUUGUAAGCCAGAUGUGAAAUCCCCGGGCUUAACCUGGGAAUGGCAUUUGGGACUGCAAGGCUCGAGUGCGGCAGAGGAGACUGGAAUUCCUGGUGUAGCAGUGAAAUGCGUAGAUAUCGGGAGGAACACCAAUGGCGAAGGCAGCUCGCUGGGACGGUACUGACGCUGAGACGCGAAAGCGUGGGGAGCAAACAGG
RNAcentral lists this ribosomal RNA (253 nucleotides) under uncultured bacterium. RNAcentral describes it as "partial 16S ribosomal RNA". It matches the Rfam family "Bacterial small subunit ribosomal RNA", at positions 524 to 776 of the family's 1533-position model. The record is from RNAcentral.